ACCUUAUAUUUUUCAAAAAGGAAAUUCCGCCUUAAGAUGAAUAGAUAAUUGAUAGAGAUAGGUAGUUGUUAAGGUAAUGGCUCAACAAGCUUAAGAUUCUCUUAGUCGAAACUAAGCUGGUUAAUCGACCACAUUGGGGAUGAAAAAAUCCCAAGGCAAAUAAGUACAGCAGUGGGGAAUUUUGGUCAAUGGCCUAACGGCUGAACUGGCAAUUUGGAGGAAUAGCCUAUUUUAAUUAGAGUGAAAUGGCAAAAUCUUAACAGGAAUAAAGUUCUAAAUAUAUUUUUAUAAUGACUAAAUAUAUUUAUGUCUUGACUAAUUACGUGCCAGCAGUCGCGGUAAUACGUAAGAGACUAGUGUUAUUCAUCUUUAGUAGGUUUAAAGAGUAUAUAAACGGAAAAAAUUAACCUGUAAAGGUAUAAUUUUUAUCUAGAGUUUAAUGUAAAAAGGUAGAACUCGAGGAGUAGCAAUGAAAUGCAUUAAUACCUUAUAGAGGACUGGUAAAGGCAAAGGCGACCUUUUAUGUAAAAACUGACGUUGAAAUACGAAGGCUUAGGUAAUGAAUAGGAUUAGAUACCCUAGUAGUCUAAGCAGACAAUGAUGAAUGCCAUAGAUUAGAAUUAUUUAAUCUAUAAAUGAAAGUGUAAGCAUUUCACCUCAAGAGUAACAUGGCAACAUGGAAACUGAAAUCACUAGGCCGUUUCUAACACCAGUAGUGAAGUAUGUUACUUAAUUCGAUGACCCACGAAAAUCUUACCACAAUCAGUAUAAUAUAUACUUUAAUAUAAAAAAGUAUUUAUUGCGAGUGUUGCACGGCUGUUUUCGGUUAAUGUUGUGAAACUGUGGUUACGACCAUGCAAUUAACGUAAACCUUUGCUUUAUUUAUAAUUUUUUUUUAAUAAAGCAAUUUUUAUCACUAUAGAGAUAAAAUACUAAGGGGCCAAAGACAAGUCAUCAUGACCUUUAAAUUGUGGGCUGUAGACGUGCCACAUAUUCCUAAACAAAGAGAAGCAAAAAUGCAAAUUUAAGCUAAUCUCACAAAAUAGGAUAAAAUAAGAUAUGGAUUGUAGUCUGAAACUCGACUACAUUAAUAAGUAAUUACUAGUAAUCG
This 1111-nucleotide ribosomal RNA is filed under the name Ceratocystiopsis longispora. RNAcentral's name for it is "bacterial SSU rRNA". It matches the Rfam family "Bacterial small subunit ribosomal RNA", at positions 168 to 1344 of the family's 1533-position model. The record is from RNAcentral. Lineage: Eukaryota; Fungi; Ascomycota; Sordariomycetes; Ophiostomatales; Ophiostomataceae.